UAUCAGUCAUGCAUAGCAUAUCAAUAAGCGGAGGAAAAGUAACUAACAAGGAUUCCCUUAGUAACGGCGAGUGAAGCGGGAAGAGCUCAAAUUUGAAAUCUUCAAGGUUCUACCUUGACGAAUUGUAGUUUAUAGAAGUGUUUUCUGUUAGUAGGAGUGGCAAAAGUUCUUUGGAAUAGGACAUCAUAGAGGGUGAGAAUCCCGUAUUUGGUCAUUCCUUCCUAGCGUUGUGAUACACUUUCAACGAGUCGGAUUGUUUGGGAAUGCAGUCCAGAAUGGGUGGUAAAUUUCAUCUAAAGCUAAAUAUUGGCGAGAGACCGAUAGCGAACAAGUACCGUGAGGGAAAGAUGAAAAGAACUUUGAAAAGAGAGUUAAACAGUACGUGAAAUUGUCAAAAGGGAAGCGUUUGACACCAGUGUUGUUUUUCCGAAAAUCAAUUACGAAUGUUUUGUUUUUGAGAAGUUAUGACUUCAUAGGCUUGCUCCUUUCUUUACGAAACUUUCUUAAUGCACUUUUCGGUUAACAAGUCAACAUCAAUUUCUUUUGUUGUAAAAGGGUAUGAGGAAGGUGGCUUUCUUUUCGGAGAAAGUGUUUAUAGCCUUGUACCUCUGCAAUCGGAGAGAUUGAGGUCUGCAGCGUAGAUCCUUCGGGGUUAGAUACAUUUGUGCUAAGUUAUAGCUUUUCAUAGACAACUUGUUGACUAUGUUUAGUCUUGUAGCUUACUCGCUUAUGCUAUUUUACCUACGCUUAGGAUGUUGAUCUCUCACAGUCGAGC
RNAcentral lists this ribosomal RNA (775 nucleotides) under uncultured Neocallimastigales. RNAcentral describes it as "partial large subunit ribosomal RNA". It matches the Rfam family "Eukaryotic large subunit ribosomal RNA", at positions 22 to 645 of the family's 3401-position model. The record is from RNAcentral. Lineage: Eukaryota; Fungi; Neocallimastigomycota; Neocallimastigomycetes; Neocallimastigales.